RNAcentral lists this transfer-messenger RNA (365 nucleotides) under bacterium. It matches the Rfam family "transfer-messenger RNA". From Rfam's summary of the family: Bacterial tmRNA, also known as 10Sa RNA or SsrA, is named for its dual tRNA and mRNA-like properties. Its role is to liberate the mRNA from a stalled ribosome. The record is from RNAcentral.
GGGGGUGUUCGCUUUGACAGGAUAACGGAUAUAAAGCGUGCAAGCCGAGUAUUCCAGGUAGCUCGUAAAACUCCCUGGAGGCACCUAAUAACUGCCAACAUUUUUUCUCCCGAAAGGGAGUUAGCCUACGCCUAACAGCGAAGGCCGUCUCUCUGCCCAUUCUCGGUAAGCAGAAUCAGGCGUCAUUCUCCGAGAUUGAUAGAUCUUUCCCGGCCCGGAAGAUCCUUUGAACCAUUACGGGCCGCAAGAGAUGGAGGGUCUUGCCCGAUUCCCACCUUCAUUUCUUUACCGAACCGGGCUGAGCUUGCGAAAUCUCUUUAUUCUUCCUAUUCCUGGACACGAGUUCAAUCUCGUCACCUCCACCA